Platichthys flesus (European flounder) is the source of this 3580-nucleotide RNA transcript. It is a transcript of the gene named metal transporter CNNM1, with no coding region annotated. The transcript has 11 exons. Lineage: Eukaryota; Metazoa; Chordata; Actinopteri; Pleuronectiformes; Pleuronectidae. The record is from RefSeq and is a predicted model, not a curated record.
AUGGCUGCGGAUGCUGCGGAUGCUCUCCGCCGCAUCCUGCAUCCGCGCCGUCUCUCCAUCUUCUUCCUCGCCGUCACCCUGUCCUCUGCGCCGGCCCCGACGCAAGCGCUGCUCGGCGUCCGGCCGGAGGACACCCAGAUCGGAGCGCUGUCCGUGCAGGACGGGAUGCUGAGGGCGACCGAGGGCACCCGCUUCAUGCUGAGGGUUUACUACUCUGCAGCAUCCGCGGAGCAUCCCAACAGCCUGAACCUCACCGGCAGACCCGACCGCGCACCAUCCGCUCCGUGGAUCGCGUUUAUCGAGGAGCCAGGCGGGGACAGCAGCGCGGACGCGGAGGGGAAGCUUCGCCCCAGGGGGAACCCGUGUGUGGAGGAGAAUGCCCGGAGCUCGGAUAUCGAGCUGCUGGGUUCCUUCAGAUCCACAUCAAGUCACAACUCAGUUUUGGUGGAGCUGCUCGCGAAAGACCUGCGCAGAGGCGAGGUGAUCAAAUACUACUCCAUGUGCGCCUUCGAUGGAGUGAAAUGGGAACAUUUCAGGACCAGAGACUUCUGGUUGGCGGUGGUGGAGAGACCUCCAGAUGCAGAUGUUUGGCUCCAGGCGGGUGUGUCGGUGCUCCUGUUGGCGCUGUCGGCACUCUGCAGCGGUCUGAACAUCAGCAUGCUGGCUCUGGACCCCGUGGAGCUGCGGGUCCUGCAGAACAGUGGCACAGAGAAGGAGCAGAAAUACGCGCGGAAAAUAGAGUCAGUGCGUAAACAUGGUAACUACAUCCUUUGCACUGUGGUGCUGGGCAACGUGCUCACAAACACGUGCUUUGUGGUGUGGAUGUGCCAGAUUUUAGGAAUGACUGUUCUCUCAACUACCUUCUGCACUUUGGGGAUCUUCUUCAUUGGUGAGAUUUUACCUCACUCCUUAGCGUCCAGGCACAGCCUCGCCAUCGCCUCCAAGACCCUCUGCGCGACGCGUCUGCUGAUGCUGCUGUUCUUCCCCAUCGCCUACCCGGUCUCCAAGCUCCUGGACAUCAUGCUGCACCAAGAGAUCAGCAGCUUCUACACCAGGGAGAAGCUGGUGGCCAUGCUGCGCGUCACGGACCCGUACCACGACCUGGUCAAGGAGGAGCUCAACAUCAUCCAGGGAGCGCUUGAGCUGAGGACCAAGACGGUGGAGGACGUGCUGACGCCGCUGUCCGACUGCUACAUGCUGUCUUCGGACGCCGUGCUGGACUUCUGCACCAUGUCGGACGUGAUGCAGAGCGGCUUCACGCGGAUCCCGGUCUACGAGAACGACAGGUCCAACAUCGUGGACAUCCUGUUUGUGAAAGACUUGGCCUUCGUGGACCCCGACGACUGCACCCCUCUGAAAACCAUCAACCAGUUCUACAAGCACCCCAUGCACUGCGUGUUCAACGACACCAAGCUGGAUGUGAUGCUGGAGGAAUUCAAAAGAGGUAAAUCCCACCUGGCCGUGGUGCAGAGGGUGAACAGCGAGGGCGAGGGCGACCCCUUCUACGAGAUGAUCGGCAUCGUCACGCUGGAGGACGUCAUCGAGGAGAUCAUCAAGUCUGAGAUCGUGGACGAGACGGACCUGUACACUGAUAAUCGGAACAAGAGACGAGUGUCCACCCAGGAGAGGAAACCACAGGAUUUCUCCAUCUUCAAACUGGCAGAAAAUGAGCUGAAGGUGAAGGUCUCGCCGCAGCUGCUGCUCGCAACCCACCGCUUCUUGGCCACAGAGGUGGAGCCCUUUAGGCCGUGUCACCUGUCAGAGAAGAUCUUGCUGCGUCUCAUUAAACAUCCCAGCGUUGUGCAGGAGCUCAAGUUCGACCCCAAGAACAAGCACGCUCCUCAACACUACCUCUUCCAGAGAAACAAACCCGUCGACUACUUCGUCCUCAUCCUGCAGGGGCGGGUGGAGGUGGAGAUCGGAAAGGAGGCCCUCCGCUUUGAAAAUGGAGUUUUUUCAUAUUACGGCAUGCCAGCACUCAUCCCACUGCCUCUCGGUCACAGGUACAGUUCCCGCUGCAGUGGUCUGAACCAAUCAGAUUCAUUACUGAGUGGAAGCAGCGUGGGUCAGCUCACUACAGGAGGAGGGAUCUAUUUACCAGACUACUCCGUUCGACAGCUCACAGACCUGCAGAUCAUCAAGAUCACCAGGACCCACUACCAGAACGCCCUGAUGGCCUCCAGGAUGGACGGCUCCCCUCAGACACCGGACCCAUUGGAUCCUGAUGCCAAAGGGAGGCCCCCGGGCCCAGAGGCUCGCUCGCACAGCAUCGCCCUCCCCCUCACAAACACGCACACUCGGAUGGGGCUGGCUCGCCUGGCACAUCUCCAUCCCCACGGCACCCUGUGCAACACGUCCCGGCUCAAUGAGAGAAACCGUAUCGUGCGCAGUAAAUCUGACGGGCAGAAGAGUCCCAACGAUUCCGUGUUCUUCCGCAUGGACGAGAUUCCAUACAUUCACGAGGACAGACCAGAAAGUUAUGGAGAGGAUGAUGUCCCCACUGAGUCUCAGCAGUCCACCUCUCCUGUCAUCAGCUCUCUGUCUCUGUCCAGCUCCGAGGAGACGAUCGGAAAGAAACUCUUGCGUAAACUCAGUAACAAAAGGAGGAAAAAGUCUCGGGAAGGAGAUUAUAGUUUGGAGGAGGGCUUGGAGAAACCGCCGGUGACGAGCUAGCACAGCGGCACAGAGGAAGAGGGACAAAGGCCACAUCUUCCUCCUCGUCGUCCACCUCAGUCCAUGUCCCAUCCACUAACACGGAGGAGGCAGGGGGUUUUGACCUAUACUACCGACUCUGCAGACUCUGGCUUCACUUUGGGGAGCGGUCAUCCCUUCUAUCUCUAUAUACAGUCCAUGCUAUGGGUUUUUAGAGGGAAGUGAGGUGAAAGGUACCGUCCGAACUGAGGAGGGCGGAGGAGGCCAUGAACGCUGUUCACUGAGGGAAACUUUAAAGCCAUUCUAAUAGAAAAGAACUAGUGCAAUAAUAAUCUGAUUGGUUAGAUCUUUUAUAAUGAAGAGAUAACUUGAUUGUUUCUAGCCGGGGGAGUGUACAGGCACAGGUUGGACUGUGCUUAUCUGCGUUGUGAAACCUUGGCAGGUUCUCUGCUCCAGGGAGCCGACAGAAGUAUGUUUGAAAGAGGAAAGCAAUAUGACGCACGCUGACGUCAAGCCACCACCUCUUUUCAAACACACACACACACGCACAGGGGCGGUGUUUGGGGACAUUCAGCGAUAUAAUUCAUUCUGCCUGUGGAAGUACAAAGGAGACUGCACUGCUAAGCUAUUCACAUUGAUCUGUCUGUAUACACUGAACACACAGGCGGAGGUCCUCUGAUGUGACCACUGACUCAGAGCCAGGAGGAUUUGUGUGAUUUAGAAACGGUCGCAGCUUUCACAGAUUUUUUUGGGUUGGUUUACACAGAUUUAUAUUCAUAGCUGCAAGGACUGUUUGUACAGGAUAAACCGUCAAUGUCACAUUUUGUAAUAUAAAAAUUAUAUAAGUCGCCUAAAGAUAUGAAGAGGGAGAGUAUAUGCCCGGCACAAGGGACAAAUUAAUUAUUAAUAAAUUAAAUUAACUACUGUU